RNAcentral lists this long non-coding RNA (157 nucleotides) under Patiria miniata (bat star). Its description in RNAcentral is "uncharacterized LOC119725867, transcript variant X2". Lineage: Eukaryota; Metazoa; Echinodermata; Asteroidea; Valvatida; Asterinidae. The record is from RNAcentral.
CCGUGGCUGAAGCAACAAAGGAAGAACCACAGUGGGAUGGCAUGUGAGUUGGAGCCAAUUAAGCCAUCGCCAGUAUUAGAGAGUUAUCGCAACAAGUGUGAGUUUACCAUCGGCAAGAGUGUAGAUGGCAUCGAUAACACUGUUGGUUUCCGGAUUG